Molecule: non-coding RNA, 644 nt
Organism: Arachis ipaensis
Lineage: Eukaryota; Viridiplantae; Streptophyta; Magnoliopsida; Fabales; Fabaceae
Source: RefSeq, a predicted model, not a curated record
GCGUUGCCACCGUGCCUCAUCAUCGUCGCUGAAGCUCUCCAUGCCACUAUCAACGCCAUUUAGGGCAGAAGAGAAGAGGAAGAAUGAUAGAGAAAAGAUAUUGGAGCUGCUACAGGAACGGCGGUUCCUGCUUCUAACCUCUGCUCUUUUGAUUUCUGGAGCUACCGUGGGUGGAGUUUGUCAUCAAAGGAAGCAAGCUGCUGCCACCAACUCUUAAUUAAGCCAGUAUCCUCCUCUUUGUUCUGAUUCCAAUUUUUCUAUUUUUGAAACCCCCCUUUUUGGCUCCUAUUCCCUGCUACAAUUAGGUCGAGUGUUGAAGCUGGUGCUGCCAUGGGACGGUUGAAGCUGUUACUGAUUCUGAAUUUGCUAUCUGGUUCUUGCUUUGUCUUGAAUCCCUAGAGCUGAAAUUGCUUUUGAUUCCUAUCCAAUUUGAAUCCUCUAUUUUACUGCAACCAUGGUCAGUGCUGCGAAGGCUAAUGUUGUUACUGUUCUGGUUGUGGUUGCGUGAGAGUUACCGCUGCUGCCCUGAAACUAAAAGAGAAGAGAGUUGUUACGUUAAAGUAUGCGAUUGCGACAUCGAGGUAGGGGGUUUAAAACGAUUUUAAUUUAAGAAUGCCUACAAGGUUUAUUGAAUAACUGCAAAU